RNAcentral lists this ribosomal RNA (452 nucleotides) under uncultured organism. Its description in RNAcentral is "partial 16S ribosomal RNA". It matches the Rfam family "Bacterial small subunit ribosomal RNA", at positions 333 to 797 of the family's 1533-position model. The record is from RNAcentral.
ACACUCCUGCGGGAGGCAGCAGUGGGGAAUAUUGCACAAUGGGCGGAAGCCUGAUGCAGCAACGCCGCGUGCGGGAUGACGGCCUUCGGGUUGUAAACCGCUUUCGCCUGUGACGAAGCGUGAGUGACGGUAAUGGGUAAAGAAGCACCGGCUAACUACGUGCCAGCAGCCGCGGUGAUACGUAGGGUGCGAGCGUUGUCCGGAUUUAUUGGGCGUAAAGGGCUCGUAGGUGGUUGAUCGCGUCGGAAGUGUAAUCUUGGGGCUUAACCCUGAGCGUGCUUUCGAUACGGGUUGACUUGAGGAAGGUAGGGGAGAAUGGAAUUCCUGGUGGAGCGGUGGAAUGCGCAGAUAUCAGGAGGAACACCAGUGGCGAAGGCGGUUCUCUGGGCCUUUCCUGACGCUGAGGAGCGAAAGCGUGGGGAGCGAACAGGCUUAGAUACCCGAGUAGUCCC